AACUAUGACUCCAAAGUGUUUCUUUGAGUCAUAAUGCCUCCUGGGCUAUGCUUGCCAGCACAAACUAGCUCAGAGUGUAGGGGUUUUUUUAUUGCAGCCAGAAGAAUGUUUUCACUUUGUUUUGUUAAAUAUAAAUGUUUGAAAGAACACUUUAAAGCUUAGAAUGUGUUACUUCCUUUUCUUGAAACGCAGCUAUUCUAAAAAGAGUGUACCAGGUGUGACUGUGGAUGCGGAUGUGUAUCCUUUGAACUGAUUACAGCAUGAACUUGAAAAAUCUAUAGCAACAGAAAUGCUUUUCAGAAUGCAGAACAGCGUUGGAGAACUGUAUCUUGAAACAGGACUGAUGCCGAAAGGAUUCUAUUAUGCCCAGAAGUCAUGGGAUACCCUGGGAUGUCUGCCAUCAGAUGACUUACAAAAGAAUACAGACAGAGUAAAGCAAAAGGACAACUACUGCAUAGUCAAUCUGGCUUUCAAGUUAAACAAGAAGCAAUAGGAGUUUUGAAGAGAUCAUUGGAUUUAAGGGUUAGUUUUCUUGGUCCCACUCAUCCUCACAUCUUUGAAAUCCAGUGGCAAGUUGCUAUUUACUUUCCAAUCCAUAGAGUAAUUCAUACAGGUACAAUUACUUCUUGGAAAAUCUUGACUUUUUUUUCAGUCUACCAAAGGAAGUUGAAAAAAAUUACCAUGAUAGUGGACCAAGAUUUGGAUAUAGAAGUCAGAUGGAAGAAAGUCCCCAUUGUGCCUUACAUUUGCAGAAGAAAAUUUCUCAGGACAGACUUAAGAACAAAACUCAGAGUUGCUUUACUGUGAGAUCUCCAGUUAGCAGUUUUACUAAACUUCAGAGGACCAUAAGCAUGGAAUCACUUCAGUCUAGAAAUUCAACUGAAGAUGCAUUGAAAAAUAUCUCAAGAAAAAGUGAAAGUAUUUUUAAAGUUGUUCGUUGCAGUACUAAAUGUGAUGAUAUUAAAAUAUAUCUCUCUGACAAUGUCA
This is a long non-coding RNA of Gopherus evgoodei (Goodes thornscrub tortoise), 987 nucleotides long. RefSeq lists it as uncharacterized. The transcript is spliced from 2 exons. Lineage: Eukaryota; Metazoa; Chordata; Testudines; Testudinidae. The record is from RefSeq and is a predicted model, not a curated record.